GCCUCCUGCACCUGAAGAAAGUGGCCCACUCAUGAAAACGCCCAGGCUCCCAGUUGGGGAGAACCAUCUCCACCAGAGGGGGAUCCAGAUCCAGUGGAGAAGAAUUUUUUUUAUUGUUUUUAGAUAAACUGUCUUCAAAUAGUGCAGCACGGGCACUUCCUGCCUCGAUGGAAAUUCAGCACACUUCCUGCUGCUCACCUGCCCCAUCUGUGUUUAUCUUCUGCCUCAAUCAUGUGAAGGCCAAAUGGGUGGCAUGAGUGCAACUGGGCCAGCUGUGGCUGGGGGCAGCAACAGCUCCAUGUUUUGAGGCCAGAUGGAGGCUGCUUUGGUCUAGGAGGUGGAGGGGAGCCAGUGGCUGCUUCAGGCCUCCCUGUGUGGAGUGCUUGGAGCUGGAAGUAGAAGCAGGGCCCAACUGGGGGCUCCAUUGGAUGAAGCACACCAUCCCAUCCAAAAGCCUGCUCCCAAUGUCCUCACUGAGCUCUCUUUGUUUCUUUCUGUUUCUUCUAUAUGUAUACAUAUCAAAUAUGUGUGUGUGUGUGUGUCUAUGUAUGUGUGUGAAACAGAAAGAAGCAAAGAGUCCUUUGCACUUUAUCAAAGGUACUCUACUAAUUCCUUUACACUUUUAUCAAAGAUAUUCACUUGUCAGGGACACUAGAGCAGUGUCCAGGCUGCAUGUAACAUCAGCUGGGAAGCUUUUAUAAAUUAAAACAACUAUAAAAU
Molecule: long non-coding RNA, 720 nt
Filed under: Homo sapiens (human)
Lineage: Eukaryota; Metazoa; Chordata; Mammalia; Primates; Hominidae
Description: long non-coding RNA NONHSAT176878
Source: RNAcentral